GACGAACGCUGGCGGCGUGCCUAAUACAUGCAAGUAGAACGCACAGUUUAUACCGUAGCUUGCUACACCAUAGACUGUGAGUUGCGAACGGGUGAGUAACGCGUAGGUAACCUGCCUGGUAGCGGGGGAUAACUAUUGGAAACGAUAGCUAAUACCGCAUAAUAUUAAUUAUUGCAUGAUAAUUAAUUGAAAGGGGAAAUGGUACAACUACAGAAGGGACUGCGUUGGUUUUACUUGUAGGGGAGGUAACGGCUCACCUAGGCGACGAUACCUAGCCGACCUGAGAGGGUGAUCGGCCACACUGGGACUGAGACACGGCCCAGACUCCUACGGGAGGCAGCAGUAGGGAAUCUUCGGCAAUGGACGAAAGUCUGACCGAGCAACGCCGCGUGAGUGAAGAAGGUUUUCGGAUCGUAAAGCUCUGUUGUAAGAGAAGAACGGGUGUGAGAGUGGAAAGUUCACACUGUGACGGUAUCUUACCAGAAAGAGACGGCUAACUACGUG
Molecule: ribosomal RNA, 504 nt
Filed under: uncultured bacterium
Lineage: Bacteria
Description: partial 16S ribosomal RNA
Rfam family: Bacterial small subunit ribosomal RNA
Source: RNAcentral